This is a small nuclear RNA of Chlorocebus sabaeus (green monkey), 66 nucleotides long. Its record names the gene U7. It matches the Rfam family "U7 small nuclear RNA". Rfam says of the family: Animal histone pre-mRNAs are spliced by a different mechanism than nuclear pre-mRNAs and self-splicing introns. This processing involves the U7 snRNP, which contains only one RNA species: U7. The 5' end of U7 RNA is thought to base-pair to a conserved spacer element downstream of the cleavage site in histone pre-mRNA. The record is from Ensembl. Lineage: Eukaryota; Metazoa; Chordata; Mammalia; Primates; Cercopithecidae.
CAGCGUUACUGCUCUUUUUGAAUUUGUCUAGCAGACUUUCUGCAUUUUACAAAAAGAAGAAACCCA